UACGGAGGGAGCAAGCGUUACUCGGGAUUAUUGGGCGUAAAGGGCGCGUAGGCGAUCUGACAAGUCUGGUGUGAAAGCCCACAUGUUAACUGUGGAAGUGCAUUAGAAACUGUUGGAUUUGAGUUCAGGAGAGGAAGGCAGAAUUCCCGGUGUAGCGGUGAAAUGCGUAGAGAUCGGGAGGAAUACCAGUGGCGAAGGCGGCCUUCUGGACUGACACUGACGCUGAGGCGCGAAAGCCAGGGGAGCGAACGGG
RNAcentral lists this ribosomal RNA (253 nucleotides) under uncultured bacterium. RNAcentral describes it as "partial 16S ribosomal RNA". It matches the Rfam family "Bacterial small subunit ribosomal RNA", at positions 524 to 776 of the family's 1533-position model. The record is from RNAcentral.